Molecule: small nuclear RNA, 105 nt
Filed under: Castor canadensis (American beaver)
Lineage: Eukaryota; Metazoa; Chordata; Mammalia; Rodentia; Castoridae
Source: RNAcentral
GUGCUUGCUUCGGCAGCACAUAUGCUAAAAGCAAACAACACAGAAAAGAUUAGCAUGGACCUGUGCAAGGGUGACGUGUAAAUUCAUAAAGCAUUCCAUAUUUAA